GACGAACGCUGGCGGCGUGCCUAAUACAUGCAAGUAGAACGCUGAAGGAGGAGCUUGCUUCUCUGGAUGAGUUGCGAACGGGUGAGUAACGCGUAGGUAACCUGCCUGGUAGCGGGGGAUAACUAUUGGAAACGAUAGCUAAUACCGCAUAAGAGUAGAUGUUGCAUGACAUUUGCUUAAAAGGUGCAAUUGCAUCACUACCAGACGGACCUGCGUUGUAUUAGCUAGUUGGUGGGGUAACGGCUCACCAAGGCGACGAUACAUAGCCGACCUGAGAGGGUGAUCGGCCACACUGGGACUGAGACACGGCCCAGACUCCUACGGGAGGCAGCAGUAGGGAAUCUUCGGCAAUGGACGGAAGUCUGACCGAGCAACGCCGCGUGAGUGAAGAAGGUUUUCGGAUCGUAAAGCUCUGUUGUAAGAGAAGAACGAGUGUGAGAGUGGAAAGUUCACACUGUGACGGUAUCUUACCAGAAAGGGACGGCUAACUACGUGCCAGCAGCCGCGGUAAUACGUAGGUCCCGAGCGUUGUCCGGAUUUAUUGGGCGUAAAGCGAGCGCAGGCGGUUAGAUAAGUCUGAAGUUAAAGGCUGUGGCUUAACCAUAGUACGCUUUGGAAACUGUUUAACUUGAGUGCAAGAGGGGAGAGUGGAAUUCCAUGUGUAGCGGUGAAAUGCGUAGAUAUAUGGAGGAACACCGGUGGCGAAAGCGGCUCUCUGGCUUGUAACUGACGCUGAGGCUCGAAAGCGUGGGGAGCAAACAGGGUUAGAUACCCUGGUAGUCCACGCCGUAAACGAUGAGUGCUAGGUGUUAGACCCUUUCCGGGGUUUAGUGCCGCAGCUAACGCAUUAAGCACUCCGCCUGGGGAGUACGACCGCAAGGUUGAAACUCAAAGGAAUUGACGGGGGCCCGCACAAGCGGUGGAGCAUGUGGUUUAAUUCGAAGCGACGCGAAGAACCUUACCAGGUCUUGACAUCCCUCUGACCGCUCUAGAGAUAGAGUUUUCCUUCGGGACAGAGGUGACAGGUGGUGCAUGGUUGUCGUCAGCUCGUGUCGUGAGAUGUUGGGUUAAGUCCCGCAACGAGCGCAACCCCUAUUGUUAGUUGCCAUCAUUCAGUUGGGCACUCUAGCGAGACUGCCGGUAAUAAACCGGAGGAAGGUGGGGAUGACGUCAAAUCAUCAUGCCCCUUAUGACCUGGGCUACACACGUGCUACAAUGGCUGGUACAACGAGUCGCAAGCCGGUGACGGCAAGCUAAUCUCUUAAAGCCAGUCUCAGUUCGGAUUGUAGGCUGCAACUCGCCUACAUGAAGUCGGAAUCGCUAGUAAUCGCGGAUCAGCACGCCGCGGUGAAUACGUUCCCGGGCCU
Molecule: ribosomal RNA, 1367 nt
Filed under: uncultured bacterium
Lineage: Bacteria
Description: bacterial SSU rRNA
Rfam family: Bacterial small subunit ribosomal RNA
Source: RNAcentral